AACAGGCCUAACACGCACACAUGGACUACCACACGGAUUCGCACACAUGUCCCCACCCCAUGCCUUCUCCGCUUAACCCCUGACGGUAGGAUGGUUUACGGAGCAGCACCCCCUGGCUGCAACUUUGGACCGAAUGCCCCCACCCUCCCUGUUGCCCCGCCGUCCAAAUCCCCAGGGAGAGGUUGAUGCGGUAAAACAAAUCUGAUGGAUCCAAUGUGUCUGGAAGCAGCAGUUUGGACCUCAUGGCGUCCUAGAGAAUAGAGGAAAAAGGAAGGAGAAGAUACAAACAAGCUGCUCUUCCAAGCUGAAUGGACAGAGUAGGACCACAUUUGGGAAUUUGGACUUGGAGCUGGCCAUCCAGCUACUGUGGUUCCUUCCAGUCUGUCAGCCAGCCAGCGUCAUCAGUGCAUGGACACCAGCC
This is a long non-coding RNA of Nerophis lumbriciformis (worm pipefish), 421 nucleotides long. RefSeq lists it as uncharacterized. Lineage: Eukaryota; Metazoa; Chordata; Actinopteri; Syngnathiformes; Syngnathidae. The record is from RefSeq and is a predicted model, not a curated record.